AAGACUAUAGACCUGCGGAGUACCUGCGGAGGGAUCAUUACUGAAUGGCCUUUUUGGCCUUCAAACCCCUCAAACCUGUGGAAGAGAAAAUGUGUUUCGGCGCCCAUGGGCGCCGCCUUUAAUGCAAAUGUCAGUCUUGUGUCUGAAGUAAAUUAAAGAUUAAAACUUUCAACAACGGAUCUCU
Molecule: unclassified non-coding RNA, 184 nt
Filed under: soil metagenome
Description: partial contains 5.8S ribosomal RNA, internal transcribed spacer 2, and large subunit ribosomal RNA
Source: RNAcentral